RNAcentral lists this ribosomal RNA (434 nucleotides) under uncultured bacterium. RNAcentral describes it as "bacterial SSU rRNA". It matches the Rfam family "Bacterial small subunit ribosomal RNA", at positions 954 to 1392 of the family's 1533-position model. The record is from RNAcentral.
GCACAACGCGAAGAACCUUACCCACCUUUGACAUGUACGGAAUCCUUUAGAGAUAGAGGAGUGCUCGAAAGAGAGCCGUAACACAGGUGCUGCAUGGCUGUCGUCAGCUCGUGUCGUGAGAUGUUGGGUUAAGUCCCGCAACGAGCGCAACCCUUGCCAUUAGUUGCUACGAAAGGGCACUCUAAUGGGACUGCCGGUGACAAACCGGAGGAAGGUGGGGAUGACGUCAAGUCCUCAUGGCCCUUAUAGGUGGGGCUACACACGUCAUACAAUGGCUGGUACAAAGGGUUGCCAACCCGUGAGGGGGAGCUAAUCCCAUAAAGCCAGUCGUAGUCCGGAUCGCAGUCUGCAACUCGACUGCGUGAAGUCGGAAUCGCUAGUAAUCGCGAAUCAGAAUGUCGCGGUGAAUACGUUCCCGGGUCUUGUACACACCG